UCCAGACUCCUACGGGAGGCAGCAGUGGGGAAUAUUGCACAAUGGGGGAAACCCUGAUGCAGCGACGCCGCGUGAAGGAAGAAGUAUUUCGGUAUGUAAACUUCUAUCAGCAGGGAAGAAAAUGACGGUACCUGACUAAGAAGCCCCGGCUAACUACGUGCCAGCAGCCGCGGUAAUACGUAGGGGGCAAGCGUUAUCCGGAAUUACUGGGUGUAAAGGGAGCGUAGACGGUUAAGCAAGUCUGGAGUGAAAGGCGGGGGCCCAACCCCCGGACUGCUCUGGAAACUGUGUAACUAGAGUGCAGGAGAGGUAAGCGGAAUUCCUAGUGUAGCGGUGAAAUGCGUAGAUAUUAGGAGGAACACCAGUGGCGAAGGCGGCUUACUGGACUGUAACUGACGUUGAGGCUCGAAAGCGUGGGGAGCAAACAGGAUUAGAUACCCGGGUACA
Molecule: ribosomal RNA, 447 nt
Filed under: uncultured bacterium
Lineage: Bacteria
Description: bacterial SSU rRNA
Rfam family: Bacterial small subunit ribosomal RNA
Source: RNAcentral